RNAcentral lists this unclassified non-coding RNA (769 nucleotides) under Hevea brasiliensis (rubber tree). The record is from RNAcentral. Lineage: Eukaryota; Viridiplantae; Streptophyta; Magnoliopsida; Malpighiales; Euphorbiaceae.
GCUGGUACCACUAAUCCUGAAUUUUAUGACUUCUCAAGGUAUUCAAGUAUUGAUGGUUUUGUUUAUGAUUUGCUUGCAAUAUUGGAGGAAUUACAAGUCAAGUCUUGUAUCUUUAUUGGUCACUCCUUUUCGGGUAUGGUUGGUGCCAUUGCCUCGCUUUCUCGCCCUGAUCUCUUCUCUAAACUCAUCAUGCUCUCUGCCACUCCAAGGUAAUUAAAAAUUCUGAGAUCUGAUUUCUUGCCUUAAUUGUCUUAAUCACCUCCUGAAAAUUUCUUGUUGGCUUUGGGCUAGGCUACUGAAUGGUGAGAAUUACUAUGGAGGGUUCGAGCAAGAAGACGUAGAAGAAAUAUUUGAAGGUGUGAGGUCGAAUUACAAAGCCUGGUGCUCAGGGUUCGCACCGAUGGUGGUGGGUGGAGACAUGGAGUCGUUAGCUGUGCAAGAAUUCACUCGAACUCUAUUCAACAUGAGACCUGAUAUAGCCCUGAGUUUAGCCGAGGUUGUAUUCCUGACAGACAUGAGACAUAUUCUUCCAUCAGUGACAGUCCCUUGCCACAUUCUGCAAACCGCCAAGGACAUGGCUGUGCCUAUGGCGGUAUCGGAGUAUCUGCAUCAACAUAUCGGAGGCCAAUCCAUUAUUGAGAUCAUGCCUACCAGUGGUCAUUUGCCGCAAUUGAGCUCUCCAGAUAUUGUGAUUCCAAUGAUUCUCAAGCACAUUCACUAUUUUAUCGAGUGAUUUUUUUUCUUAAUGUUCAAUUUUAUCCUACUUAUU